UUUAUUGGGUUGUGACCAAUUAAAACGAGUAAAACACUAUUUUCUAGGGUUGAACAGAUCCGAUCGUUUCCUUUUUAUUUUUUUAGGGUUCGUUCAACCUUUGCAAAAAAUCCUUCGACAUUUGACAGUUUAUUUUUCUUCUACUUCUUCGACGUCAAACUUGGUAUAACUACGGACAACUACGUCUUUGUGUUUGUGCAAGAGAGUAGUGGUUCGAACAAAAAACCCAAUUGUAUCGCUACAGAACUAGACAAAAUCAUUGAAGAAGAAUAUGCCAUAACUGGAUUAUGAAGCAACAAAUUCAAGCUCUCGCGGGGAUUCAACAUUAUAAUCUAUACACUUUGGACAACUAAUAGAACUUGGUAUAACUAUGUUGGUUUUGUAACUUAGAAAUCUGGCAUAACUACGUCAGUUUGUUAAAUUUAGUACAACUUGGUUAGUAUGGUUA
This is a long non-coding RNA of Arabidopsis lyrata subsp. lyrata, 448 nucleotides long. RefSeq lists it as uncharacterized. The transcript is spliced from 2 exons. The record is from RefSeq and is a predicted model, not a curated record. NCBI's taxonomy places the organism in Eukaryota, Viridiplantae, Streptophyta, Magnoliopsida, Brassicales, Brassicaceae.